AACAAUAACGUCAUUCUGCUGCUUAUUGUCUCUGUACUCAAACAUGAGCAGUCUUACAGAAACUGGUAAAUUUCAUUUGAAAGACAGCAUCUUCUCCAUGAAAACACAGAACAUUGAGCCACUUCACUUCAUUCUGUAGGGAGCAACUUGGCUUCUCCCUAGGAGUUUUCCGUGCUCAUAGAAGACAUGAUAAGGGAUGAGUGUAAAGCAGGUAUCUCUUGUUCUUUUCCUCAGCUGUCGCUCCAGGUUUCUCGAGACCACUGUAUUACUGUCACCCAUCCUUUCCUCGUUGUAGCGCUGUUUCCUCGGCCACCUGGGCAAUGUGUGAUCGGACCCGCUGGAAAAGGCAGUUUCCCUCCUGGGGGCAGAGUCCGGCCGAGUACCGGAAAGGCGACGCGCGGCCGGGCAGGGGCAGCCCAGUGCCCGGCUCUGCAGGGGGCGCCGCGGGCGGGAGGCGGGGCCGGGAGGAGCCCGGUGCCGUGUCCCGCGUCCCGCGCCGCGCCGGGGGCGAGGGAGCGCCCGCGGGGGAUGCACCGCCGUGCCGCGCCGCCGAUGUGAGGGGAGGGGAGCGGCCCCUUCCCCGCCAGCCCCGGACCAUGGCGGCCCCCGGAGCCCCUGGAGAAUAUGAUGUGCUGAUUGUGUAUGCAAGUGACGCUGCUGAAUGGUGUCAGUACCUCCAGAACCUCUUCCUCUUUACUUGGCAAGUUCGAAAGCAUCGGAUUCUGAGCUACCAGCUGGAAGACGACUCUGCCAUCUCCCCACAGGAGCUGGACCUGUUCAGCAGAAGUCGGAGUAUCAUCCUUUUGCUUUCUGCUGAACUGGUGCAGAGUUUUUACAUUCCUCACAUCCUGCACAGCCUUCAGGAAGCUUUAUGGCCCCCAUGCAAAGUGGUCAAGCUGUUCUGUGGUGUGACGGACUGUGAUGACUAUUUGACCUUUUUCAAGGACUGGGCUCAGUGGCAAGAACUCACAAAUGAUGAUGAGCCUGAUGCUUACCUUGCAGCUGUUGAGAAGGCUAUUUCAGAAGACUCAGGCUGUGACUCUGUGACUGAUACAGAAACAGAAGACGAGAAGAAUCCAGUUGACUCCCACAGACUUGCCAUGAGUGAAGAACAUGGAUCCUCCAAGAGCACUGGGGAUUGUCCAGUGGUGCAGCCCAGCCGCAUACAAUGUGGGGUGCAGACAACAGUUUAUAUUAUCAUGAAAUGUAAACUAGAUGGUGAAAUGAAAACUGAAGUUGAAUUUUCUCCAGAGAAUGCAUCCUCUGUGCGUGUGCUGGCUGAGAUGGAGAAUGAGUACACAAUCUCUGUGAAGGCUCCAAAUUUAACCUCUGGGACAGUGACCCUGCAGAUAUAUUCAGGGGACUUGAUGGUGGGAGAAACAAGUGUCACUUACCAUACUGACAUGGAGGAAAUCAGCAAUCUGUUGGCUAAUGCAGCCAACCCUGUACAGUUCAUGUGCCAGGCCUUUAAAAUUGUGCCAUACAGCAUAGAAGCCCUGGAUAAACUAUUGACUGAGUCACUCAAGAAGAACAUUCCUGCCAGUGGUCUUCACCUGUUCGGAAUCAACCAGCUGGAAGAAGAAGAUAUGACAGCAAAUCAGAGGGAUGAGGAGUUGCCAACACUGCUUCACUUCUCUGCGAGAUACGGGCUGAAGAACCUUACUGCCUUGCUGCUUACAUGCCCUGGAGCACUGCAGGCCUACAGCGUAGCCAACAAGUAUGGCCACUAUCCAAACACCAUAGCAGAAAAGCAUGGCUUUAAGGAUCUCCGCCAGUUCAUUGAUGAAUAUGUGGAAACUGCAGAUAUGCUAAAGAGUCACAUUAAGGAAGAGCUGAUGCAAGGCGAGGAGGAUGAGUCUGUUUAUGAGUCCAUGGCUCAUCUGUCCACUGAUCUGUUAAUGAAAUGUUCCUUGAAUCCAGGCUCCGAUGAAGAGCUUUAUGAAUCCAUGGCUGGAUUUGUCCCGGGUGCCCCAGAAGAUCUUUAUGUAGAGAUGCUUCAAUCCAAACCAGACACUCCAGUUGCUGGAGAUGAAGUUUCUAUAACUACAAAAGACUCAAUGCUCCGCAAGUUUUUGGAAGGUGGUAGCAUGGAUGUGCCAGAUUCUGAGCAUGGAGGUCAGGACCAGUAUGGUGAAGACGUGUACUACUCAGUGGAACAAGACCCUUUUCCCCAGGAAAUGGCUAACAGACCUCCAGUUCCUGUUCCAAGACCAGAAUCUAGCUCUCCACAGCCAGACAAUGAGCUGUACAUCUCCAAAAUUUUUGCACAGAAGGCUCAAAGACCUGAGAAUCUUUAUGUCCCUAGAGGAAGGGUUAAGAAAGAGACAAUAGUCAGGCCUGUAAGGGACCUGUCUCAAUCAAGUAUAUAUGAUCCAUUUGCUGGAAUGAAAACCCCAGGUCAGCGGCAGCUGAUUACAUUACAGGAGCAAGUGAAAAUGGGCAUCCUCACUGUGGAUGAAGCUGUACUUCAUUUUAAGGAGUGGCAACUGAACCAGAAAAAGAGAUCAGAAUCAUUCCGGUUCCAGCAGGAAAAUCUGAAACGUCUACGAGACAGCAUAACCAGGAGGCAAAUGGAGAAGCAAAAAAAAUACAAAAGUGCAGAUUUGGAAAUUACAGUACCUAUUCGACAUUCUCAUAACACUUUGGGGAAACCAGAAUGUGGAAUAUAUGAAUACACCCCCAGGAAAAACCUUUUUCCACCAAAAAGGGAGUUAAAACGAGGAGACUGGAAAACGGAAAGCACAUCCAGCACAACAAGUAGUGCAAGCAACCGCUCCAGCACUCGGAGUAUAUUGAGUGUCAGCAGUGGGAUGGAAGGGGACAGUGAGGACAGCGAAGUCCCAGAAACAGCAAGGAGCCGCAGCCCAGUUCCUCACCAAGUAGAGAGGCUUCCUUUCCCAGAAAGGCCUCCCAGAGUGCCUCCUCGAGGUGCAAGCAGGAGAAAGUUACCAAACUAUCAAAGUUUUACUCCAACCAACCAUUAUAGCAUCCCUUUCUAGUAAUAGUAGAAUUACUGCAGCUGAAGAACAGAAGAAAAGUCUUGGACAGGAACAAUGCUCUGGCAGCUUGGCAUCUGCUCUGUUGCUCAAUCAGCCUGUUUUUCUUCUUGUAUGACUACUGAUUGUAAAGCCUAUAAGCUGUGAAGGCUUUUAUCCUCCACCUGUGCCUCCAAGAGGUCGCUGAAUCUCUCAACAUCUGUGGAAAAUGAGAUUUUUUUUGUUUAUAUAUGUGUUUGUACAGAUAUUUUUUUGGGCUGCGUUAAAUUAUUUAUAAGUGGGACCCAAAUGAUUUCAUCCCCUUCAUCCUCCCUGAAGCCCUGGUGUGUUUUCCCGUGAUUUUCACUGGGGCUUCUUGGCGGUUUAUGACUUUUUCUUAGCUGGAAGAAUUUUGGUGCUUUGGGGCUUCAAGAAAAGGUAUCAUCAUUGGGAAGAACAUUGAUGUGUGUCUUGGGAGCCCUGCAUCAACAUGAAGAUCCCAUUUGAUCAAGAAAGCACAUGUGUCCUUUUAGGAACUAAAUCCUGAUAGCAUUGUUACCAAACCUUUCAAUACAGUCGACCAGGGCUUGACUGGAAAACACGCUUAAGAAGUAAAGAAAAUAAGAUGUUUGAAAAAUGCUCAUUACAGCAGGAACAGGUGAAUGGACUACUGCUCGGCAUAACAUUUUGGAUACAAUUAUACUGACCUUUCAGAAGGUGUAGCAUCCCCCUUUAGCAAUCAUUAAACCAUGAGGGGAUGAGAAAUUGUCUUAAAGAAUGUAUUUUGCAUACAGCCUUGAAAAUGCCUUUCCUUUUCCUGUUCACUUCCUGAAGAGGACAGACAAGGUGUUGUGUGUGCUGCAUUUACUAUGAAAAUUCCCUGGUAAGGGACCUUCUGUAUCACAAACCAACUGAACUUAAACCUUUCUCAUGCAGGGUGCAGGUAUGGUGUUACAAAAUCACAUGACUGAGCUCUCAAAUUAGAGAAGGGCUUGGUGGCAGUGCUGUGUUCUGUCUUUUACAUGUGGUCUGAAGGCAUUUCACUUCAGACUCUGGAACAGUAGUGAGUCUCCAAUUAUCAGUGCACACCCCUCACAAAUACCAGCCAUAUUUUAGCUGGCUGCAGUGGAAACAGACAGCCUGGGGACUGGACUCUGCUUGCUCUACUGUCCCUUUCUACCAAGGUGAAUCUGCAGCAGCUAUGUCCAGCCUUUUUUCUGCCUGAGGGCUUACAAACUUCCUGGUUUGGCUCUCUUCCAGACCUUGAAAUCUUCUGUGCAUAUCCCAACCCUUGGGGGACAGUUUACGGCUCUGAUUGUCCAUGAGUGACACAGAUGGGAAUCUGCAAGAAAACAUUCAGGGUAGAGAAUUAAACAUCAUUACAUACUUGGUUUUCAGGGAUGAAAGAGGGGGAAUGGUUUUAAAAACAGACAGAGACAUCUGUAUUAGGUGAUGCCUCAGGUAGAGGUAGGACAUGUAGAGCUUCUGAUCAUGUCAGCUUCCCUUCAUCUGUAGGAGAGCAGGUGACAGAGUUGCAGUUCCUUUCUCUUGCAGGGUGGCAAACCCAAUGUGUGAAGCUGCAGAAGUGACAGCAACCAUGACUUGACCAGCAUUGAAAGAAGGUGGAGGAGCCCCUGCUCCUUUCAGGGAUAUAGGCAUAUGCUAAAUAUCAUCUAUGCAUUAGACACAUAGGAUUUGGGUGACUCCAAAUGCAGUUCAUAAAUCCUCUCCUUUUGAUGGCAGAGGGAUGCAGGUGUUGUGCUGCAUACAUAGCACAACAGAUAGAAAGGUGUCCUUUCUGUUUUGGUUUUUUAAAUUUUAUUUUUUAAAGGAACCUCAGUGCUGUCUCUAGUAACUGCCACUAUAGACUCAGUGAGUUUGCUUUCAUUCGCUGUAGCCAGGGGAAUGGUGAGGUUGCCCUCCUGUGCCCUUCUUGGAAUGAAACAAGGUUUCCAGCUCUAUUAGCUCAAAUUGGAAGGAGGGACAGAGGUUUUGGUGCUGAAAUGAGGAAAACGGUAGCAAGGAUAAGUGAAGAAAUUAGGGAUAAAAGAUAAACCAAAAGAAGAAAUUCAGCAGCUUGAUUGUCUUCAGCUGUCACAUGCUUUGGUUUGCAUACAGCUCCCUGGUUUUGCUCAAAAAUUCCCUAUCUUCUUGGUGCUGAUUGCAGCUGUGCCCCAGACCUUGGAGCUGUGAUGUGGGAAGAGAAAUUUGUCUGCUUUCACAUCUGCCAGGUACAACAUACAGCAGAAUUGUAGGAUGUGGGUAAAACUGUAAUAAGGCAGGAAAGGAAGAGCAACUUAUAUGUGUAUCGUGCAGAUUUUCUUUCAACACUGUUGGACUGAAGCAGCCCAGGGAUCCAUCUUUCCAAGCUAAUUUUUAGUUCUGCAUCCCCUCCAUGUUAAAGCCAAAUGUCCUCUAUGGGAGGGAUUUAUCUGAGCAUUUGACUUUGCAGAAUCCUAAUACCAUGGCUGUGAACUGGAUAUUUACUGCUUGUGCUGUGGAGAGAUGGUUACAUCUCAGUUACUGAAAAAUAGCUCAUAAGUAGCUUUCAGUCCCUCUCCCAUUUGAAGCUUAGAUACUUCACUACUCUGAUCUGACCUCUCACAUAAAGCCAAGGGCUGGUGGGGCUCUGGGAGAGGUGAGCUGGGAAAAGGGGAACUGAGCCAUACUAUAAAUGUAUUCUGUUCAGGCCCUUCUGCACUCCUUAAGGGAGGGAAACUCUAGAUGCAGCUGUAGUUUCAGGCAUUCCUGUCUCACUGCUGCUGGAUUAGUGAGGGAUCUCAGUAACCAACAAUCACUGCAAGACUCUCACCCUAUUAAGGAAUAAAGGAACAGCACUAAAAUGGCAUUACUGUUGGAGGCAGGUAAACAACUGGAUGCAAUCAUGUCUUUCAAGCCUCUUACAGGCCAGCAGCAAUGCACCUGCUUAGCCACCCAAGUGUGUUCCACAUAGGCUGGAUUCAUCUAGUUGCUUUCAGCCUGGUACAUUUCAAUGUAUGCAGUCCCUGUAUCCGUAUGUUUUGCUGGUGAGCAUGUGGUGUGUGUUGCUUCGACCCAGGAUGAGAAAUGCACUGAAACUGAAGAUCAGAAGAGACCAGAGAAGAAAACAGCAUGCAUGCAGAUUGCUGGUUACUUAAGAAUAUGCUUGGGAGGGAAAGUGGAAAGGGAAAUAUGAACAGUGUUUCUGAUAAAUAUUAAGAGUUCAAGGACUGAACAGAUAAUAAAAUUGCUUGUAAAAACUUAA
Molecule: RNA transcript, 6219 nt
Organism: Motacilla alba alba
Lineage: Eukaryota; Metazoa; Chordata; Aves; Passeriformes; Motacillidae
Gene: PIK3AP1
Gene name: phosphoinositide-3-kinase adaptor protein 1
Exons: 18
Source: RefSeq, a predicted model, not a curated record